Molecule: non-coding RNA, 2039 nt
Organism: Artibeus jamaicensis (Jamaican fruit-eating bat)
Lineage: Eukaryota; Metazoa; Chordata; Mammalia; Chiroptera; Phyllostomidae
Source: the annotation of a RefSeq genome assembly
CCGCUUUCCUGCUUCUCUUUGAGGACACGGUCUGUUCACAGGAUGUCUCUGCUGGAAGCAUUCACCUUCUUGUCCUUCUGGGCAGUUGGACUUGGGCUAUCAAAAUUGGAGCAGCCUCAGAUAUCCAUUUCCAUAGUAGUAAAGAAAAGUGUUGACAUAUACUGCAAGGUUUCAAGCACAAAUUUUGAAAACGAUGUCAUUCACUGGUACCGGCAAAAAUCGAAUCAGGCUUUGGAGCAUCUGAUUUAUGUGAGCUCAACAAAAAGUCCAUCUCAAAGUAACCAAGGUGGGAAGAACAACAAAGUUGAGGCAAGAAAGAAUUCUCUAAGUCUCAUGUCAAUGCUGACUAUAAACUUCAUAGAAAAAGAAGAUGAGGCCAUUUACUACUGUGCUGGCUGGACACACACUACUACAACUGUUGAGACAACCCACACAAUAUCCUUUCCCUGGAUCUGUGCCACAUCCUUCCCAUCAGUGGCAACCACAACCAGCACCCCCCUCUCCAGCUGGGCUCCUGAAGUCAGCCUUGCCUUGUCUGCAGCAUUUUCUGAGCUCUUCAAGAAGCCAUCUGGGAUUGUGCUUGCACAUAGCUCUCAGUUAAUUCCAGGGAUUGUGCUUCCACAGCUUUAUUUGACAAUACAUCCCAAUUAAUUAAAGUCUUGUGUGGGGACGGAAAGCACAAGCUGUGCCAUGGUCCACCAUCUCAUCUUCCAGUGACUCUCAGUAAGUUGUCAGGAUGACUGGAGCCAUUAUUAUCAUGCAUACUCAAGACAACCCUUUGGCAAUAUACUAUUAUUGUUCCAUUUUCCAACUAAAAAUUUAAGCUUAUAGAAUUUAGCUUUAAAGAUUAGAAAGACAAGAAGUCCAUCCUUUUUGAACUGGACUGUGAGACCAUGAUAUUAAGUUCAAGGAUUCAAUACUUUAACUAAACACUAGGGUAUCUGUAUCAAAUUAGGGAUGAAGCAAAGUCAUUUUUCUGGGAGGUGUGGGAAAAAGGUUUCAGCCAGCAUGACAUCCUCAGACCAGAGCUUCAGAUUCACUGGAGAUGUUACAUGAGCCAGUUAUAUUUGGUAACCUUUGAUUUUGUCUGUGAAAGUAGAAAGAACCUGCUAUGAUCUGAAGAACUAAGUGUGUGUUUUGUAUAAGUUUGGCAUAGUCAGGGUGUGUGUGUAAGUUGCUAGUUUAUGCUCUCAAUUCUUUGACUAUAUUAGCUACUUCAACUCACACUAUAUAUACACCUGCUAUCAUCAAGUGUAUUUGACUCACAAGGUAAGUGAUGAAUUAAGUGAUUCAGUCACUUGUUCAAGUUACACAGCUGGUUUGUAGCUAGUUGACAGAGCAGGGUAAAGACCCAGAUAAUCUGGCUCCUCUUAGCUGUUUCACUAAAACCUUUCUAAUUGCAAGACAAUAAAAGAAAGAAUACACUAGUCCCAUCCUCAUAGGGGAAACAGAGCUAAACAUUAUGGGACAUUAACUGACACAAAUUAUCAAUGUCUACUGAAGCAUGUGCCCAGUAUUUGAGUGACCGGGUGUCCUUCAGAAUAAAUUAAAUGUCAAUAAAUUACCAAUUGAUUUUUCAAUAUAAAAUAAUACAAAGACCUAUAUUUUCAAUUUCUAAAAGUCAUGUUUGUAGUGGGAUUCUUUAAGAAUAUAGCUGUCUCCUUUAAGGUUCCUAUACAUGCUGCUCACCAUAGUUAAAAGUUACUGAAAUAAAAUCAAAAUGUUUAUUCUCUCUAGUCCCUAUUUCAAUGACUUAUAGUCUACUAUUUAAUUUUGAGAUGUACUGGAAGGGAAAAUAGAGUAAUUUUCAGGCCAGACAGACUCAAGAGACAGAAUUAGACACAUGAUCUGUCAGCCUUCUCCCACCUAUGGUGGGCUCAUAUUUCACUGAAUUACAUGGAGACCAAGACUCUUUAUGACCAUGAUGGCAUCUAAGUGGUGGCAAUGUUGUCUUCUUGAACCUAAAUAAAACCUCCCUAGUCGCUUUUAUAUUUUAUGCAAGGAAAUUAGAGACCAGAACCUAAGUGGUAAACAUCACA